CCUACGGGUGGCAGCAGUGAGGAAUAUUGGUCAAUGGGCGGAAGCCUGAACCAGCCAAGUAGCGUGCAGGAUGACGGCCCUACGGGUUGUAAACUGCUUUUAUACGGGAAUAAAAUGUUCCACGUGUGGGAUUUUGUAUGUACCAUAUGAAUAAGGAUCGGCUAACUCCGUGCCAGCAGCCGCGGUAAUACGGAGGAUCCGAGCGUUAUCCGGAUUUAUUGGGUUUAAAGGGAGCGUAGGUGGAUUGUUAAGUCAGUUGUGAAAGCUUGCGGCUCAACCGUAAAAUUGCAGUUGAAACUGGCAGUCUUGAGUACAGUAGAGGUGGGCGGAAUUCGUGGUGUAGCGGUGAAAUGCUUAGAUAUCACGAAGAACUCCGAUUGCGAAGGCAGCUCACUGGACUGCAACUGACACUGAGGCUCGAAAGUGUGGGUAUCAAACAGGAUUAGAUACCCUGGUAGUC
RNAcentral lists this ribosomal RNA (460 nucleotides) under uncultured bacterium. Its description in RNAcentral is "partial 16S ribosomal RNA". It matches the Rfam family "Bacterial small subunit ribosomal RNA", at positions 338 to 795 of the family's 1533-position model. The record is from RNAcentral.